RNAcentral lists this long non-coding RNA (263 nucleotides) under Carica papaya (papaya). RNAcentral's name for it is "long non-coding RNA (CPAP_LNC012405)". Lineage: Eukaryota; Viridiplantae; Streptophyta; Magnoliopsida; Brassicales; Caricaceae. The record is from RNAcentral.
AUGUGUUUAAAAGGGUGGACUGUUUAAUUAUCUAUCAAGGAGAGUCGUGUGCAUGUGACACCAGGAUUCGGUCGAAUGAGGUGUGGUGAAACUCUAUCAUGUGGACAAUGAGGUUAUGUGCAUUGUGCCAACUAUGUGAUCUGGUAUAGAUGCGAAUGCUAUAAUUGUGUCUUCGGAGGGAUUGGUGUGCGUGUGGCCUAUGUUGGUCAAGUAGUGAAUCCCGUUUGGAGAACAUAUGCUAUACAAUAUUAUACAGUGGCCAU